AAACCCAGCGAAACCCAUUUUUCAAUCCACUCUCUGAACAAUCAACGAAACACAUUUUUCAAUCCACUCCCUGAACAAUCAACGAAACCCAACGAAACUCAGCAAUGGUGACGACAACGAAGCUCUCAGUUCCUUUCACGAAGCUAAUGCUUGUACCCAACUUCCCGUGACGACAUUGGUAGAGAAACAAAGCUCUCUUCUUCUCCAACAUCGCACCGCUCUCUCACUCUCAUUUUUUUGAAACUGAGAGGACAUUAGUAAGGAAGAAUAGGGGUUUUAUACUUUGAGCGAAUUUGGUAGCUGAAGAAUUAGGGUUUUAUAUUUUGUUGAUUUUGUUGUGAUAUAUUUCAGGUUGAUUUUGUUGAUUUUGAAAGUGUAGACUCAGAAUGGAUAGUUGAUUUUGUUGUGCUAUAUUUCAGGUUGAUUUUGUUGAUUUUAGGUUGAUUUUGUUGUGCUAUAUUUCAGGUUGAUUUUGUUGAUUUCAGGUUGAUUUUGUUGUGCUAUAUUUCAGGUUCAUUUUAUUGAUUUUGUUGAUUUUGAAAGUGUAGACUCAGAAGGGGUUUACUCAAGCAUCGUUCGUUUAGUUUUGAUUGAAAGACAGAAAUUAGAGUAUCUGCCUAGAAACUGGACAGUUCUUGAAGAGAGAGAACCUAAGGACUGAUGUUCACUUAUGGUGAAUUGUAAAAUCUCAAGAAUUCAAGUUCCUUAGCUCAAUUUCUCGUGGUGUAAUUUGCAGUGAUGUCUUCUCAUGAUUCAGUAAGCACGGUGUUCAAAUGUAUGCAAAACGGAGCCGUUGAUUUUCUCAUUAAACCUGUUCGCAGGAAUGAGCUAAGGAACUUGUGGCAGCAUGUGUGGAGAAGACAUACUAUUAGCAAGCCUCCUCAAAAUAUAACAUUGGCACAUGAUAAACUUGAUGUUGCUGAAGAAAACAAUACCGCAAGUAAUAAUUCUAGUGGUUCUGUAGCUUCCACGCAGAAAAUCGAGUGCAGUGGAAAAAAUAGUGAGACUCCAGCUCAAGUAAGUUCUGCUUCUGUAAGCCAUUAAAAAAUCACUGAAACAAUUUAAUAUUAUUGUUAGAUAAAAAGGUUUCAGCGUGUUAAUUGUGAAAUAGAAGUUACCUUGUAUAUGAGCUGAUUUCAUUACUAAUGUUCUAUCUACACUUUCAACAUUAGGCUUGAGUAACGUAAAAAGACAUACAACUACCGUUUGUAAACAAUGCAUAUAUGAAGCCACUCUCUUGUAAACUAGAUGAAAAUUUUACUGUACAAUCCCUUCUAUGGUAGUUAUACCCAAUGUGUAGAAAAAUACAUUGAAUCCUUAUAGUCACCAUCAUAUCUGAGUCUCAGCAUCAAAAUUUUAACAAGUUUCCAAAAGGCAUUAUGAUAGCCACAAUCAUGUGUAUCAAAACUCUUUGAUAUGUGACUUGCCAUAUCUCAUUUGGUGAACUAGUGUCUCAGAUUGCCCAAUCUCACUGGCAGCCUUUUUAUUCUUGUCCUUGACCAGACGAGCUUUGCACACAGCUUGUUGGAUUUGUCUUUCAUGCUCCUUGAGGAUCUCUUCAAAAUUAGCCUCUGGAGGCAGUAGGGGCCCAGAAUAGUUUAUGUGCCCAUUUUUGGGAGCAUUACCCUGCAAUCACAAAUAAAAGCAAGUCAUUACUAGAGAAUUCCAGUCAGUCACAGUGAGCAUAAAAACUAUUAAAGAAAAAAGGAACAGUCUCCGGAAUGGUAAUAAAAAUUGUUCCAUUACGUAGCGCCAAGACUUCUGGUGAUACUGUGAAUGAGAAGAUUUUCCUUAGCAGGAGAGUUUGCAAAGCUGAGAAUAAUAACUUGGCGCUAUAGCUGUGUAGGGUAGUGAAAUUUAAACAGACCGUAAUUUCCUACGAUCCACAAUUGGCAACUCCGUGGAUAAGUGAUUACAAAAGACUCGAUAGUAUUAGAAAUGAAAUCGCUAGAGAUAAAAUUGGGGUACAUUUUAGUGUAGAAAAGGUAGCAGUUUAUUGUCUUAUGUGGUUUGAGCAUAUGGAUAGAAGAGUUGUAAAACUAUUGAGCUUCAAAUUGGCCUCAAGAACUACGAUCCACAAAAGGAUAAACAUUUCAGCGGCUCCAUCAAGUUGCCUCACAUCCCUCGCCCUAAGAUGAAGAUUUGUAUGCUUGGAGAUGCCCAACACGUUGAAGAGGUAUACAUCU
Long non-coding RNA from Vicia villosa (hairy vetch), 2186 nucleotides. RefSeq lists it as uncharacterized. The transcript is spliced from 3 exons. NCBI's taxonomy places the organism in Eukaryota, Viridiplantae, Streptophyta, Magnoliopsida, Fabales, Fabaceae. The record is from RefSeq and is a predicted model, not a curated record.